Molecule: long non-coding RNA, 1713 nt
Organism: Micropterus dolomieu (smallmouth bass)
Lineage: Eukaryota; Metazoa; Chordata; Actinopteri; Centrarchiformes; Centrarchidae
Exons: 9
Source: RefSeq, a predicted model, not a curated record
UCCAUUUUUGGUGGAGGUCGUAAAUCCAUUUUUGCCAGACAUGGCAUACCAAACACAGUGAUGAGUGACAAUGGAUGAUGUUUCAGCAGCAGAGAAUGGCAUGACUUUGAGCAUGUCACUUCCAGCCCUCUGUAUGCACAGUCGAAUGAGAAAGCGGAAAAGGGAGUCCACAUCCUCAAACAGCUCCUGAAGAAAGCUGCUGACAGUGGCUCAGAUCCCUACCUUGCUUUACUGAGCUACAGAGCAUCACCCUCGGAGUGUGGACUGUCACCUGCUGAACUGCUGAUGAAUCAAAAACUGCACACCACACUGCCAAGACAACUAAGCAGUUUCCACUAGUGUCAACUAAUGACACAGUCGGGGUCAAAAAUCCUGGUGGUUGGGAGACAACAGCUACUGUUCUUCAAGAAGUAGCUCCACGAUCGUUCAUUGUGAGGACCGAGGAAGGACAAAUCCUCAGACGUAAUUGCCUCAGUCUUAUGAAAACACAAGAGACUGUCCCCAAACUCAGCAAAGCCCAUACUGAGUCCAUGUCUCCACCUCCCACAGACUGGAGCACCAAUGCACAUACUCAAGAUGAGACUGUGCUGAGAAGAUCUACAAGAGAAAUCAGAAAACCUGAGAGACUGAACUUGUGAUCAUGUGGCAGCUGCAGCUGUGUUACUACCCCUUGCACUGAAGGCCCGCUAGGAAGGGAUCUCUUUAUGACUACUACAAACAGGAGGAAUAAUCAUCAAUAAUGUUUUCAAUGAACACAUAGGCAUAAGCAGGCCUAGGAGGAUCAUUAUGAUUCACUUAUCCAGUUGUAAAUGAGAAGUCAUGGACAUCUGCUCCUUUGGGAAUCUCCACCCCUUUGAAUAGAAAAUAGAGCUUAAAAAUCUGCUAAACGAGGUAGCGGCAACCGGGAUCCUUCUCUUAUACAGAUCUCAAAACUGCCCUUGUGCAUGGAGACAAUUUCUCAUCAGGCUCCAGCAGCCGGAGCACCAAGCUCAUUCACGGAGGAGUCCGAUAUCUACAGAAAGCCAUCAUGAAAUUGGAUUACAAACAGGACAACACAACGAUGCUCGAAUGAACCUCACCAUCGCCCUCACUGCUGCCAGGUAUGGGGCUGCCAUAGCCAAUUACACUGAAGUGGUGCACCUACUGAAGAGGGCAGACCCUCAGACGGGGAAGGAGAGGGUCUGCGGAGCGCACUGCAGGGAUGUGAUCACAGGGCAGGAAUUUGAUGUCAGAGCCAAAUGUGUUAUCAAUGCCACGGGACCUUUUACAGACAUGCUGCGGAAAAUGGAUGAUCAGACGAACCCCGACAUCUGUCAGCCCAGUGCUGGGGUGCACAUCGUCAUGCCGGGCUAUUACAGUCCCGACAACAUGAGCGCCUGGAUCCUAUCGCGUCAUCUUCUUACCAGGAAAGGAUGCCCAAACACACCCACACACAGCAAGCCAUCCUAGUGGAGGAGAGCAUCAAUUUCAUCCUGACUGGUCCAGAACUACCCAACUACCUUCGCCAGGACAUAAAUGUUGGGCAAAGUCUUGUCUUGAUCCUGACCAAGGCGACGAGAACUAAAAGUUUUGACCAGUUUGCAUCCUGUGUUGGACAGCUACUUGAAGCCCUGUGCCAUGAGACAAGCUCAGACGGAUGGAUUUCAACACUAAUCCGUUUGAUGUAAGUGAAUUUAGGUUCUAAUUCAUGGGCUUGUGCACUGUACAACAAGC